UUGAACGCUGGCGGCAUGCCUUACACAUGCAAGUCGAACGGUAACGGGCCUUCGGGUGCCGACGAGUGGCGAACGGGUGAGUAAUACAUCGGAACGUGCCCGAUCGUGGGGGAUAACGAGGCGAAAGCUUUGCUAAUACCGCAUACGAUCUACGGAUGAAAGCAGGGGACCGCAAGGCCUUGCGCGGACGGAGCGGCCGAUGGCAGAUUAGGUAGUUGGUGGGAUAAAAGCUUACCAAGCCGACGAUCUGUAGCUGGUCUGAGAGGAUGAUCAGCCACACUGGGACUGAGACACGGCCCAGACUCCUACGGGAGGCAGCAGUGGGGAAUUUUGGACAAUGGGCGCAAGCCUGAUCCAGCCAUGCCGCGUGCAGGAUGAAGGCCUUCGGGUUGUAAACUGCUUUUGUACGGAACGAAAAGCCUUCUUUUAAUACAGGAGGGUCAUGACGGUACCGUAGGAAUAAGCACCGGCUAACUACGUG
RNAcentral lists this ribosomal RNA (481 nucleotides) under uncultured bacterium. Its description in RNAcentral is "partial 16S ribosomal RNA". It matches the Rfam family "Bacterial small subunit ribosomal RNA", at positions 30 to 507 of the family's 1533-position model. The record is from RNAcentral.